AGUGAACGUUGGCGGUAGGCCUAACACAUGCAAGUCGAACGGCAGCACAGUAAGAGCUUGCUCUUACGGGUGGCGAGUGGCGGACGGGUGAGGAAUACAUCGGAAUCUACUUUUUCGUGGGGGGUAACGUAGGGAAACUUACGCUAAUACCGCAUACGACCUACGGGUGAAAGCAGGGGAUCUUCGGACCUUGCGCGAUUGAAUGAGCCGAUGUCGGAUUAGCUAGUUGGCGGGGUAAAGGCCCACCAAGGCGACGAUCCGUAGCUGGUCUGAGAGGAUGAUCAGCCACACUGGAACUGAGACACGGUCCAGACUCCUACGGGAGGCAGCAGUGGGGAAUAUUGGACAAUGGGCGCAAGCCUGAUCCAGCCAUACCGCGUGGGUGAAGAAGGCCUUCGGGUUGUAAAGCCCUUUUGUUGGGAAAGAAAAGCAGCAGGUUAAUACCCCGCUGUUCUGACGGUACCCAAAGAAUAAGCACCGGCUAACUUCGUG
RNAcentral lists this ribosomal RNA (492 nucleotides) under uncultured bacterium. RNAcentral's name for it is "partial 16S ribosomal RNA". It matches the Rfam family "Bacterial small subunit ribosomal RNA", at positions 29 to 507 of the family's 1533-position model. The record is from RNAcentral.